GAGCUCGCAGUACAGGGGCGUCACCUUCUACAGGAGGACCGGCCGCUGGGAGUCGCACAUCUGGGAGUAGGGACUGCGGGAAGCAGGUCUACCUGGGUGGAUUCGACACCGCGCACGCCGCAGCUAGGUUUGAACUGAACACUGGUGCAUUCAAAUUGAUGACACCUCCCACAAUGCAUCAUAUAUUUGUCUACUAUUUUCCUCCCAUGUUUAUAUGAUCGUCCUCACUGGUUUAUGAUCACAUUCCAUUUUUGGUACUCCAUUGGAGCAUCCAUUCCUAUCAGAUGCAUGCUUCUAUGCUUGGCCUUACAGGUUUCUAUGCCCCUAUAGAAAACUUUUCUACACUGAGUUUGUACCCUACUUGUAUGAGGGAAGUGUAUAAUUUUUGCCACCAUAUGAAUGUAACUUCGUAGAUGCCUGUGUUUUUUAGCAUAAAAGUAUCCAUUUUCAUCUUUAUCCUUGUUGCUGUUUAUUUAGUUUUGCAUAUGACAAUUGUCGAGCAUCUUCUAUUUUUUCUUUAUUUUUAUGCAUUUUCCAUGCACCAUAGGAGCAUCAUGUCUGAUCAGAUGCAUGUUUAUAUGCCUGACCUUACAGGUUUAUAUGCCAUCGUACAAAGCUCUCUACACUAGUAUAUAAUUCUCCACAUACAUUCAAAUGUUGGGAUGGUGGUGUGUUAUAUAUUGACGAGGAUCUGCCGCAUGACGACUUCCACAACUUCAUGCUAGCAUCAUAGUCCUCACCAGCUGCAAGCUAGCAUCAUAGUCCUCACCAGCUGCAAGCUUGCAUCAUAGUUCUCACCAGCGGAGUGCAAACAUUAUUGAUUUUGUAUUCAUAGUUUGUACAUCUCUUUUAGGAAAUUUAUGGUUCACACAACUGUACAUCUCUAUUUGAUUCAAAUUCUAGAUGGAUUUUGGUUUCUAUGCUUCUAGGCCAGGUUUAUAUGUUUGCAUUUAUAGAUUUCUAUGUCCCGGAUGAUAGGUUUCUAUGCUCGUUCUUUGUAUGUUUC
Molecule: long non-coding RNA, 1006 nt
Organism: Panicum virgatum (switchgrass)
Lineage: Eukaryota; Viridiplantae; Streptophyta; Magnoliopsida; Poales; Poaceae
Exons: 4
Source: RefSeq, a predicted model, not a curated record